GACGAACGCUGGCGGCGUGCUUAACACAUGCAAGUUGAACGCUGAAGCCCUUUCGGGGGUGGAUGAGUGGCGAACGGGUGAGUAACACGUGGGUAAUCUGCCCUGCACUCUGGGAUAAGCCUUGGAAACGGGGUCUAAUACCGGAUAGGACACAUCGCCGCAUGGUGUGUGUGUGGAAAGUUCCGGCGGUGCAGGUUGAGCCCGCGGCCUAUCAGCUUGUUGGUGGGGUGAUGGCCUACCAAGGCGACGACGGGUAGCCGGACUGGUGGGGUGGCCGGCCACACUGGGACGGAGACACGGCCCAGACUCCUACGGGAGGCAGCAGGGGGGAAGCUGGCGCAAUGGGCGAAAGCCUGACGCAGCAACGCCGCGUGGGGGGUGACGGCCUUCGGGUUGUAAACCUCUUUCGACCGGGACGAAGGGUGACUGACGGUACCGGUAGAAGAAGCACCGGCUAACUACGUGCCAGCCGCCGCCGUAA
This 481-nucleotide ribosomal RNA is filed under the name uncultured bacterium. Its description in RNAcentral is "partial 16S ribosomal RNA". It matches the Rfam family "Bacterial small subunit ribosomal RNA", at positions 28 to 523 of the family's 1533-position model. The record is from RNAcentral.